This 533-nucleotide ribosomal RNA is filed under the name uncultured bacterium. RNAcentral describes it as "bacterial SSU rRNA". It matches the Rfam family "Bacterial small subunit ribosomal RNA", at positions 812 to 1341 of the family's 1533-position model. The record is from RNAcentral.
UCAACUAGGUGUUGGGGGCGGUUAAUCGUCUCAUUGCCGGAGCUAACGCAUUAAGUUGACCGCCUGGGGAGUACGGCCGCAAGAUUAAAACUCAAAGGAAUUGACGGGGGCCCGCACAAGCGGUGGAGUAUGUGGUUUAAUUCGAUGCAACGCGCAGAACCUUACCUGGUCUUGACAUCCCGAGAAUCUCUUAGAAAUAAGAGAGUGCCUCAUUAGGGGAGCUUGGUGACAGGUGCUGCAUGGCAGUCGUCAGCUCGUGUCGUGAGAUGUUGGGUUAAGUCCCGCAACGUGCGCCACCCUUGCCUUUAGUUGCCAUCAUUAAGUUGGGCACUCUAGAGGGACUGCCGGUGUCAAACCGGAGGAAGGUGGGGAUGACGUCAAGUCCUCAUGGCCUUUAUGACCAGGGCUACACACGUACUACAAUGGCAUGUACAAAGGGCAGCCACAGGGCGACCUGGAGCGAAUCCUUAAAACAUGUCUCAGUCCGGAUUGGAGUCUGCAACUCGACUCCAUGAAGUUGGAAUCGCUAGUAA